AAUGGUGUAAUGUCUGAGAACUGCCGGGCAUGUUAGAGACUGUAUAUGUUGUAUUCACAAGAGAGUGCCCAAGAUAGAAAGAAUUCAUUUUCAUAUUCCACCUCCAGCAUCUACCAGGUUCCCAGAGCAAGUAGAUUUCUCCUGCAUUCAUAGCACCAUGCCUUCUUGCCCCAUUAAUCAGACUGUCCUGCACCAAGUCCCAUCUCUCAGGGUCCUGCUCUCUGAUAGGCAACAGUUCAGUCAGUGGGUGCUAAAGAGUUGAGUGUUACACUUCUUGGGUGACCUUUACCUUUUAAUUGGGGCUAUAGACAAUGCCUUAAUCUGAAGGAGUAGCUUGAAUGCUGGGAAUUUCAGGUGCAGAAGUGGGCCAGUAAGAGAGAUUAGUUUUUUUCUUAGGAGGGCAUUUUAGAGCCUCCUCUUCCCCAUACCCAUCUUUAAAGUCAGCUCAUACAUACAUGAGCACAAACAAGCACACUUACCUACAUCUACAUCCCAUAAUUUUGGAAUACCUCCCUUGCAUUGGCCCUAUCUUUAAACAUAAAAAUAAAUUAGAAAUGAACCAGCUAAAUUAAUUCAAACCUCAUUGGGAAAUGCAGCCUAUUUUUUCACCGGCCACCAGCCAUCUGGUCUACCCCACCCUGUUCCAUUUCCUUCCUGCUCCUUCUCUUUUCGGCUACUGGCCUAUCAGUUAACUUAUGUGUAAAUGUCCUUUGCUCUUCCCUUGCUUCCCCCUAAAUGUAUUUCCCCACACCCUUGGACUUGUGUUGUUUUCGGUGUUGUGAAGGACAGAAGUGGAGGCUAAGAGCAUGAGCAUGUACGUAUGUCACUGAAGACAGAGAAGCCAGGUAUUCUGCUACAGUUUGAAGAAUAACGCCACAAAGGAAGAGGUGAAAGCCGGCUCUGCAGAGUGCCUUAAAAAUGACUUUAAUUAGGAAAUUCCGAGUCGUCAGUCUUUGGAUGUUACAUAAACUCAAUGGAUGUUGCAUUUCACUUCUCUGGGAUUAAAAAAAAAAAGUUAAAUACAGUAUGUAUUCAACAAUG
RNAcentral lists this long non-coding RNA (1041 nucleotides) under Mus musculus (house mouse). Its description in RNAcentral is "long non-coding RNA chr1:167089964-167091005". Lineage: Eukaryota; Metazoa; Chordata; Mammalia; Rodentia; Muridae. The record is from RNAcentral.